Molecule: long non-coding RNA, 1060 nt
Filed under: Equus asinus (donkey)
Lineage: Eukaryota; Metazoa; Chordata; Mammalia; Perissodactyla; Equidae
Description: lncRNA (ENSEASG00005027311.1)
Source: RNAcentral
GACAAGGUGGUAGGAGAGAAAGGGUUUUAUUACAGCUUGUUAGCAAGGGGGAAGAUGGCUGACUAAUGUCCAAAAGAACCAUCUUACAGAACACAGACUACAGAUAUGUAUCAGAGACCCAAGGAAUGCCCUAUACCUUGAUUUUCCAAGUGUCGUUGAUGAUGGCUAUCAGCAUAAGCUCUCUGCCUGGGGCGUCAUCACAUCCCUAAGCAACUCAAAAGAACAAAGUGAUCUACUUGUAGCAGCUGGGAGGGGACUUGAAAUCUACAGAGCAUGUAUAUCUCCUAGAGGGAGUUGACAGUUACCUGGACAACUAAAUGCCUGAUUUCCUUCUGUUGUCUCCCUCUCUCAGUUGACUACUGCUGAAGAGUUCUUGCUGAAGUACAUACCAGACCAUUUACUCCCCUUUCCCAAAGUCUCACAGUUAAUGACUUUGAAUCUGACUGGAUCUCCUAAUAACACGUUUGUUGUUCUUUCCAUUGCUCUACUGUGUAGCUAUUUCACUUCUAUUAGUCAAGAAACUCAUUGAAGCCUGGAAAUGUGAUUAAAUACAAACAACAAAUAAGGACUGUAGAAAUUCAAAGAAAGAGAUAUCAGUAUGUCUGAUAGCAGUUUUAAAUGCCUUCAUGUGGAGUUAAUUGAACAGUUUAAAAAUUUAAGUAACAUGAAAUAAAUGAGAAUACCAAUGAAUGCUGGCUGUGUGAUACCUUUUAAUAUCAUAUGAGAAAGCAUGUAUAAGAGCAAAUUGAUUAUCUGUUUGACUAACUUUUUCAGAGGUCAGUUUUAGAACUACGUUUACCUUAUGCUUCCCAUUAACAAAAGAAGAAUGAUUCUUGAAGUAACUGUUAAAAUUUUUAAACAGUGUUUUAAUAGACUGAGGCCAACAUUAUUUUCUGGAAAAAGUGAUCUCUCCAAUUAGAAUGUAAUUAAUAAAAAACUAUGAUUUGCAAAUCAUUAAUUUUGUACAUUAGCAUUCAUUCAAUGAGCACUUAUUGAACAUAUCUGCAGAGGAUAUAAACUGGCAGGUCAAAUCUUAGCUGCAGAUUUGUCCUGUUUGACC